GACGAACGCUGGCGGCGUGCCUAAUACAUGCAAGUCGAACGGUUUAGUUCCAAGAGGCUUGCCUUUUGGAACUAGACAGUGGCGGACGGGUGAGUAACACGUAGGCAACCUACCUGUCAAACCGGGAUAACCUCGGGAAACCGAAGCUAAACCCGGAUAAGCUCCUUUUUCGCAUGAAGGGGGAGUGAAAAGGUGCGACCUGAUGACAGAUGGGCCUGCGGCGCAUUAGCUAGUAGGUAGGGUAACGGCCUACCUAGGCGAUGAUGCGUAGCCGACCUGAGAGGGCGUACGGCCACACUGGGACUGAGAUAAGGCCCAGAAUCCUACGGGAGGCAGCAGUAGGGAAUCUUCGGAAAUGGGCGAAAGCCUGACCGAGCAACGCCGCGUGAGUGAGGAAGGCCUUCGGGUUGUAAAACUCUGUUGUUUGGGAAGAAGGGAAAGGGUAGGACCCUUAGGUGACGGUACCAAACGAGAAAGCCCCGGCUAACUACGUG
This 494-nucleotide ribosomal RNA is filed under the name uncultured bacterium. RNAcentral's name for it is "partial 16S ribosomal RNA". It matches the Rfam family "Bacterial small subunit ribosomal RNA", at positions 28 to 507 of the family's 1533-position model. The record is from RNAcentral.